Molecule: ribosomal RNA, 254 nt
Filed under: uncultured bacterium
Lineage: Bacteria
Description: partial 16S ribosomal RNA
Rfam family: Bacterial small subunit ribosomal RNA
Source: RNAcentral
GACAGAGGGUGCAAACGUUGUUCGGAAUUAUUGGGCGUAAAGAGCUCGUAGGCGGUGUGUCGCGUCGGCCGUGAAAACCUGCAGCUUAACUGUGGGCUUGCGGUCGAUACGGGCAUCACUGGAGUUCGGCAGGGGAGACUGGAAUUCCUGGUGUAGCGGUGAAAUGCGCAGAUAUCAGGAAGAACACCGGUGGCGAAGGCGGGUCUCUGGGCCGAUACUGACGCUGAGGAGCGAAAGCGUGGGGAGCGAACAGG